Molecule: ribosomal RNA, 478 nt
Filed under: uncultured bacterium
Lineage: Bacteria
Description: partial 16S ribosomal RNA
Rfam family: Bacterial small subunit ribosomal RNA
Source: RNAcentral
GAUGAACGCUGGCGGCGUGCUUAACACAUGCAAGUCGAACGGGAAUUAUUUUAUUGCAACUUCGGUCGAAUUAAUUUAAUUCUAGUGGCGGACGGGUGAGUAACGCGUGGGUAACCUGCCUUAUACAGGGGGAUAACAGUCAGAAAUGGCUGCUAAUACCGCAUAAGCGCACAGAGCUGCAUGGCUCAGUGUGAAAAACUCCGGUGGUAUAAGAUGGACCCGCGUUGGAUUAGCUGGUUGGUGGGGUAACGGCCCACCAAGGCGACGAUCCAUAGCCGGCCUGAGAGGGUGAACGGCCACAUUGGGACUGAGACACGGCCCAGACUCCUACGGGAGGCAGCAGUGGGGAAUAUUGCACAAUGGGGGAAACCCUGAUGCAGCGACGCCGCGUGAAGGAAGAAGUAUCUCGGUAUGUAAACUUCUAUCAGCAGGGAAGAUAGUGACGGUACCUGACUAAGAAGCCCCGGCUAACUACGUG